RNAcentral lists this ribosomal RNA (432 nucleotides) under uncultured bacterium. RNAcentral describes it as "partial 16S ribosomal RNA". It matches the Rfam family "Bacterial small subunit ribosomal RNA", at positions 29 to 507 of the family's 1533-position model. The record is from RNAcentral.
GCGCACGCUGGCGGCAGGCUUAACCCAUGCAAGUCGAGCGGACCUUUCGGGGUCAGCGGCGGACGGGUGAGUAACGCGUGGGAACGUGCCUUCCGGUUCGGAAUAACCCUGGGAAACUAGGGCUAAUACCGGAUACGCCCUUAUGGGGAAAGGUUUACUGCCGGAAGAUCGGCCCGCGUCUGAUUAGCUAGUUGGUGGGGUAACGGCCUACCAAGGCGACGAUCAGUAGCUGGUCUGAGAGGAUGAUCAGCCACACUGGGACUGAGACACGGCCCAGACUCCUACGGGAGGCAGCAGUGGGGAAUAUUGGACAAUGGGCGCAAGCCUGAUCCAGCCAUGCCGCGUGAGUGAUGAAGGCCUUAGGGUUGUAAAGCUCUUUUAUCCGGGACGAUAAUGACGGUACCGGAGGAAUAAGCCCCGGCUAACUUCGUG